This 292-nucleotide ribosomal RNA is filed under the name uncultured bacterium. Its description in RNAcentral is "partial 16S ribosomal RNA". The record is from RNAcentral.
GGACUACCGGGGUUUCUAAUCCUGUUUGCUCCCCACGCUUUCGUGUCUCAGCGUCAGUACUCGUCCAGUUGGCCGCCUUCGCCACCGGUGUUCCUCUCGAUAUCUACGAAUUUCACCUCUACACCGAGAAUUCCACCAACCUCUCCGGUACUCAAGCCACGCAGUAUCGAGUGCACUUCCUGGGUUGAGCCCAGGGCUUUCACAUCCGACUUACAUGGCCGCCUACACACGCUUUACGCCCAGUAAUUCCGAACAACGUUUGCACCCUCUGUCUUACCGCGGCUGCUGGCAC